This 73-nucleotide transfer RNA is filed under the name Desulfosporosinus orientis DSM 765. It matches the Rfam family "tRNA". Rfam says of the family: Transfer RNA (tRNA) molecules are approximately 80 nucleotides in length. Their secondary structure includes four short double-helical elements and three loops (D, anti-codon, and T loops). Lineage: Bacteria; Bacillati; Bacillota; Clostridia; Eubacteriales; Desulfitobacteriaceae. The record is from Rfam by way of RNAcentral.
GUGGAUAUGGCGAAGUGGUUAACGCACCGGAUUGUGGCUCCGGCACUCGUGGGUUCAAGUCCCAUUAUCCACC